GAGGCAGCAGUCGAGGAUCUUCGGCAAUGGGCGCAAGCCUGACCGAGCGACGCCGCGUGUGCGAUGAAGGCCCUCGGGUUGUAAAGCACUGUCGAGGGGGAGGAAGCCGCAAGGUUGACCUAUCCCUGGAGGAAGCACGGGCUAAGUUCGUGCCAGCAGCCGCGGUAAUAAUC
RNAcentral lists this ribosomal RNA (173 nucleotides) under uncultured bacterium. RNAcentral describes it as "partial 16S ribosomal RNA". It matches the Rfam family "Bacterial small subunit ribosomal RNA", at positions 345 to 526 of the family's 1533-position model. The record is from RNAcentral.